RNAcentral lists this ribosomal RNA (253 nucleotides) under uncultured bacterium. RNAcentral describes it as "partial 16S ribosomal RNA". It matches the Rfam family "Bacterial small subunit ribosomal RNA", at positions 524 to 776 of the family's 1533-position model. The record is from RNAcentral.
UACGUAGGGGGCAAGCGUUGUCCGGAAUCAUUGGGCGUAAAGCGCGUGUAGGCGGCUCGAUAAGUCUGCUGUGAAAGUCCAAGGCUCAACCUUGGGAUGCCGGUGGAUACUGUCGAGCUCGAGUCCGGAAGAGGAGUGUGGAAUUCCCGGUGUAGCGGUGAAAUGCGCAGAUAUCGGGAGGAACACCAAUUGCGAAGGCAGCUCGCUGGGACGUCACUGACGCUGAGACGCGAAAGCGUGGGGAGCAAACAGG